CGGCGAUGCGUCCUGGUC
Molecule: non-coding RNA, 18 nt
Filed under: Arabidopsis thaliana (thale cress)
Lineage: Eukaryota; Viridiplantae; Streptophyta; Magnoliopsida; Brassicales; Brassicaceae
Source: RNAcentral